Molecule: ribosomal RNA, 308 nt
Filed under: Hatitia sp. MR428
Lineage: Eukaryota; Metazoa; Arthropoda; Arachnida; Araneae; Anyphaenidae
Description: partial 12S ribosomal RNA
Source: RNAcentral
AGGUAGUAAUUUUUAAUAAAACCUAUUUAUAAUGACGGCAUCUAAUCUAAUUAGAGGAACUUGUCUAUUAAUUGAUAAUCCACAUUAUUUUUCACUUUUUUUCAAAAUUUAUAUACCGCCAUCAAAAGAAUUAAUUACAAAAUAUUAUUCUUAAUAAUAAUUAAAAAGUUAGGUCAAGGUGUAGUUUAUAUAUAAGAUUAUAUGAGUUACUUUAAAUAACAUUUAAGAAAUAAAAUAAAUAUAUUUUAAGAAAAAGGAUUUAAUAUUAAUAUAAAAAAAUUUUUCAAUAUAAUAAGAUAUAAAUGUGU